This 209-nucleotide long non-coding RNA is filed under the name Elaeis guineensis (African oil palm). Its description in RNAcentral is "long non-coding RNA (EGUI_LNC032535)". The record is from RNAcentral. Lineage: Eukaryota; Viridiplantae; Streptophyta; Magnoliopsida; Arecales; Arecaceae.
UGCUAUCCUCCCAAGCCCAAAUAUCGACUUAGCAAAGGACAGAACGUUAUACAUCUGUUACCAAAAAAAAAAAAGGAAUGUUAUAUAUGUCUCCAUCAAGUUUGUUAUCCGUGCAAGCUCUCCAUGCUUAUUCUCUUUUGAUGCCUCAUUCUUUUAUCUAGCCUCUAUAAAUAGGGGUGACAAUCAAGUCGGGUUAAAUCAGAUAUAGG